RNAcentral lists this ribosomal RNA (484 nucleotides) under uncultured bacterium. RNAcentral's name for it is "partial 16S ribosomal RNA". It matches the Rfam family "Bacterial small subunit ribosomal RNA", at positions 30 to 507 of the family's 1533-position model. The record is from RNAcentral.
AUUGAACGCUGGCGGAAUGCUUUACACGUGCAAGUCGAACGGCAGCACGGGGGCAGCCCUGGUGGCGAGUGGCGAACGGGUGAGUAAUACAUCGGAACGUGCCCGGUCGUGGGGGAUAACGUAGCGAAAGUUACGCUAAUACCGCAUACGAUCUGAGGAUGAAAGCGGGGGACCUUCGGGCCUCGCGCGAUCGGAGCGGCCGAUGUCAGAUUAGGUAGUUGGUGGGGUAAAGGCCUACCAAGCCGACGAUCUGUAGCUGGUCUGAGAGGACGACCAGCCACACUGGGACUGAGACACGGCCCAGACUCCUACGGGAGGCAGCAGUGGGGAAUUUUGGACAAUGGGCGCAAGCCUGAUCCAGCCAUUCCGCGUGCAGGACGAAGGCCUUCGGGUUGUAAACUGCUUUUGUACGGAACGAAAAGGCUCUGGCUAAUACCUGGGGCUCAUGACGGUACCGUAAGAAUAAGCACCGGCUAACUACGUG